CCAGGAGAUGGAUUAAGUAAACAAGGUUCCAAAGAUAUGAGUAGGGAAAUCUCAAAACCAAAGUCACUACAGCCCUCACCAUUGGCCAAGAGCUGCAUGAUCAAGACCACAAAAGUUAAAUUCAAAACUACCUUUGAGUCUAUCCUCCAUAAAUUUGGACUCCUCUUCCUUUCUGCCCAGAUCUGUUUAACCACCCACCCAAACUGAAAUUCAUUCCUUCUUCCUUUGAGCAUACUGAGCCAGAAAGAUUCCAUCCUCUAAAUAACCCAGUAAUUGUACAUUUUGAUGAGCGGCAUAUCCACAAUGCUCCCAUUUCCAGCUAGUCCCCAGUUUUUGUUAUGUUAUUGGUAUUUUUGAAAGCAAAAAUAAAUAAUCCUAUCAAGAGUAUAGGUUGGGUUUAAUGGGUUCAACUGAGCUGCACUCCGGGAA
This 429-nucleotide long non-coding RNA is filed under the name Pan troglodytes (chimpanzee). RNAcentral's name for it is "long non-coding RNA NONPTRT000569". Lineage: Eukaryota; Metazoa; Chordata; Mammalia; Primates; Hominidae. The record is from RNAcentral.